AUGGGAUGAAGAUUCUGCCAUGGAAAUCGAUUGUGAGAGAAAGCCCUUGCCAAGCCGGGUGAAAACAGAAAUUUAUGACUCUGAAAUCAAAAUGGAAGAUGUUGCUGAGAGUAAAGGUUUUGAACGAGCAGCAGCUGAACCUGCCUGCCGAAAGGCUCUUGAUAUGAGUUUGAUGAUGGAGAAUCAUGGUCUGAAGAUUGAACGAGGAGCAGUGAACGAGCCCGAGGAUCGAAUGUAUUCCUAGCAACAAGUGAACCAGAUUCGUUUAUAUGCGAAUUAGUAUUUUUGGGAUGUGCCAGAACUUUAGACCUGUCACAUGGAUGAGUGUUAAUAUAUAGACUAUAGAUGAUGAUGAUGAAGCUG
Molecule: unclassified non-coding RNA, 363 nt
Filed under: Hevea brasiliensis (rubber tree)
Lineage: Eukaryota; Viridiplantae; Streptophyta; Magnoliopsida; Malpighiales; Euphorbiaceae
Source: RNAcentral